Molecule: ribosomal RNA, 810 nt
Filed under: Amblyomma hebraeum (bont tick)
Lineage: Eukaryota; Metazoa; Arthropoda; Arachnida; Ixodida; Ixodidae
Also listed under: 1 other name
Description: SSU rRNA
Rfam family: Eukaryotic small subunit ribosomal RNA
Source: RNAcentral
CAUUAAAUCAGUUAUGGUUCCUUAGAUCGUUUCUUUCUACUUGGACAACUGUGGCAAUUCUAGAGCUAAUACAUGCAUUGAGCCUGAAGGCCUUUGGCUGACGGGCGCUUUUAUUAGACCAAGACCCAUCGGGUUCUGCCCGAACACUGUGGUGACUCUGGAUAACUUUGUGCAGAUCGCAUGGCCACGAGCCGGCGACGUUUCUUUCAAGUGUCUGCCUUAUCAACUUUCGAUGGUAGGUUACUUGCCUACCAUGGUUGUUACGGGUAACGGAGAAUCAGGGUUCGAUUCCGGAGAGGGAGCCUGAGAAACGGCUACCACAUCCAAGGAAGGCAGCAGGCGCGCAAAUUACCCACUCCCGGCACGGGGAGGUAGUGACGAAAAAUAACAAUACGGGACUCUUUUGAGGCCCCGUAAUUGAAAUGAGUACACUCUAAAUCCUUUAACGAGGAUCAAUUGGAGGGCAAGUCUGGUGCCAGCAGCCGCGGUAAUUCCAGCUCCAAUAGCGUAUACUAAAGCUGCUGCGGUUAAAAAGCUCGUAGUUGGAUCUCAGUUCCAGACGAGUAGUGCAUCUACCCGAUGCGACGGCUCGGACUGAACAUCAUGCCGGUCCUCUCUUGGUGCCCUUCAUUGGUGCGUCUCGAGGUGGCCCGCGCUUUUACUUUGAAAAAAUUAGAGUGCUCAACGCAGGCGAGUCGCCUGAAUAAACUUGCAUGGAAUAAUAGAACAAGAGCCCGUUUCUGUUCUGUUGGUUUUUGGAAUACGGGCUAAUGAUUAAGAGGGACAGACGGGGGCAUUCGUAUUGCGGCG